CUUUCCUUGAAAUUUCUCAUUGAUUUCUUUUUCAAAAACAAAACAAAAAAAAAACAUUCAAAAAAUCACAAAAUUCAAAAAUUUCAAAAUCAAAACAACCAAGCAACUUCAAAUUUCUGCCAUUGGUGUCUCGACCCUCUGCAGAGCAUUGGUCUAGCCUAAUUUAAUUUUUUUGCUAUUGGUGUCUUGGCCCUUUGCAAAGCAUUGGUCAAGCCUAAUUUUAUUUUUCUGCCAUUGGUGUCUCG
RNAcentral lists this long non-coding RNA (245 nucleotides) under Vigna radiata. Its description in RNAcentral is "long non-coding RNA (VRAD_LNC006758)". The record is from RNAcentral. Lineage: Eukaryota; Viridiplantae; Streptophyta; Magnoliopsida; Fabales; Fabaceae.